Molecule: ribosomal RNA, 325 nt
Filed under: Propionibacterium acidifaciens
Lineage: Bacteria; Bacillati; Actinomycetota; Actinomycetes; Propionibacteriales; Propionibacteriaceae
Description: bacterial SSU rRNA
Rfam family: Bacterial small subunit ribosomal RNA
Source: RNAcentral
GACGAACGCUGGCGGCGUGCUUAACACAUGCAAGUCGAACGGUAAGGCGCUUUCGGGCGUACACGAGUGGCGAACGGGUGAGUAACACGUGAGGAACGUGCCCUUGACUUUGGUAUAGCACUUGGAAACAGGUGGUAAUCCCGAAUAUUCAGUUUCCCGGGCAUCCGGGUUGUUGGAAAGCUUUUUGCGGUCAGGGAUCGUCUCGCGGCCUAUCAGCUUGUUGGUGGGGUAGUGGCCCACCAAGGCCUUGACGGGUAGCCGGCCUGAGAGGGCGACCGGCCACAUUGGGACUGAGAUACGGCCCAGACAUCCUGCGGGAGGCAGC